UUAGAGUUUGAUCCUGGCUCAGGAUGAACUCUAGCGACAGGCUUAACACAUGCAAGUCGAGGGGCAGCAUGAGGGUAGCAAUACUCUUGAUGGCGACCGGCGCACGGGUGCGUAACACGUAUGCAACCUACCCCGCAUUGGAGAAUAACCCGGAGAAAUCCGGACUAAUGCUCCAUGGUAACAUGGUGAGGCAUCUCAUUAUGUUUAAAGAUUCAUUGAUACGGGAUGGGCAUGCGGAUGAUUAGCUAGUCGGCGGGGUAACGGCCCACCGAGGCGACGAUCAUUAGGGGUUCUGAGAGGAAGGUCCCCCACAUUGGUACUGAGACACGGACCAAACUCCUACGGGAGGCAGCAGUGAGGAAUAUUGGUCAAUGGGCGAGAGCCUGAACCAACCAAGUCCCGUGAGGGAAGACCGCCCUAUGGGUUGUAAACCUCUUUUGUUUGGGAAUAAAGUGCGCCAUGCGUGGUGUUUUUUAUGUUCCAUAGGAAUAAGGAUCGGCUAACUCCGUGCCAGCAGCCGCGGUAAUACGGAGGAUCCGAGUGUUAUCCGGAUUUAUUGGGUUUAAAGGGUGCGUAGGCGGGAGAUCAAGUCAGUGGUGAAAUGGUGCGGCUCAACCAUAGCAUUGCCGUUGAAACUGGUUUUCUUGAGUGCGAAUGAGGUGGGCGGAAUGUGUCAUGUAGCGGUGAAAUGCUUAGAUAUGACACAGAACACCGAUUGCGAAGGCAGCUCACUGGGACGCAACUGACGCUGAGGCACGAAAGUGCGGGGAUCGAACAGGAUUAGAUACCCUGGUAGUCCGCACAGUAAACGAUGAAUGCUAGGUGUGCGGGGACUGACCCCCUGCGUGCCGCAGUUAACACAAUAAGUAUUCCACCUGGGGAGUACGAUCGCAAGGUUGAAACUCAAAGGAAUUGACGGGGGCCCGCACAAGCGGUGGAUUAUGUGGUUUAAUUCGAAGCAACGCGAAGAACCUUACCAGGUCUUGACAUGGGAAUGACAGGUCGGUAACGCGACCCUUCCUUCGGGACAUUCCACACAGGUGGUGCAUGGUUGUCGUCAGCUCGUGCCGUGAGGUGUCGGCUUAAGUGCCAUAACGAGCGCAACCCCUGCCGCCAGUUGCCAGCGAGUUAAGUUGGGGACUCUGGCGGGACUGCCACCGCAAGGUGCGAGGAAGGCGGGGAUGACGUCAAAUCAGCACGGCCCUUACGUCCGGGGCGACACACGUGUUACAAUGGGGGGUACAGAGGGCAGCGACCUGGCGACAGGGAGCGAAUCUCAGAAAGCCCCUCUCAGUUCGGAUCGGAGUCUGCAACUCGACUCCGUGAAGCUGGAUUCGCUAGUAAUCGCGCAUCAGCCAUGGCGCGGUGAAUACGUUCCCGGGCCUUGUACACACCGCCCGUCAAG
This 1405-nucleotide ribosomal RNA is filed under the name uncultured bacterium. RNAcentral describes it as "bacterial SSU rRNA". It matches the Rfam family "Bacterial small subunit ribosomal RNA". The record is from RNAcentral.